RNAcentral lists this unclassified non-coding RNA (434 nucleotides) under Hydrocotyle verticillata. RNAcentral describes it as "partial external transcribed spacer". The record is from RNAcentral. Lineage: Eukaryota; Viridiplantae; Streptophyta; Magnoliopsida; Apiales; Araliaceae.
GUGUUUGGUUUGUUUGGAUUGGUUGGUUCCUUGCUCGCGCAUCGACAACCACUCCUUCUAACCUUUUCAAUCUUGUUCCAAGAGCAACGAGCCUCGGACGGAAUUGGUUUCUUGUGUUGCGUACCUACGACGUCGGAAUUGUCCCGUAUACUUGUCCCUAGUUCGACUUGUGCUGCUCAUGCGGUGCGAGUCGAUCAAUGUAGUGUCCUUCGUUGUCCAUUCUUGGCUUGCGUUAUGCAGUCAUUGAAUUGGCCAACGUUGUCGGAGGCACUCGAUUUCUCGGAUAUGGAACCUUAAGCGGACAAAACGUGGUCCUUGACCUCGAUUUGGCCAGAAUGAGCGUUCUCGCUUCUUAAGAACGACUGUCGUCCCGUUCGAGAUGUGGAUACUUUUGGUCCAACAUGCUCGUCCGGCGUUGACGUCAGAGAAGGAUG